This is a small nucleolar RNA of Camelus dromedarius (Arabian camel), 126 nucleotides long. NCBI's taxonomy places the organism in Eukaryota, Metazoa, Chordata, Mammalia, Artiodactyla, Camelidae. The record is from Ensembl.
CUUCCCAUUCAUUUGCUGCUAGAGUCUGGAUGACGUGAGCAGUUAUAUGCCUGGGAUAAAACGAGGUGGGGCCGCUGCAAACUGGGGUGGGGUACAUUUCAUCUCUUCUUCGUGGUCUAGACACUG